Molecule: non-coding RNA, 136 nt
Organism: Brachypodium distachyon (stiff brome)
Lineage: Eukaryota; Viridiplantae; Streptophyta; Magnoliopsida; Poales; Poaceae
Source: Rfam
AUUAUACUCCCUACGAUCCAUAUUACUUGUGGCAGCUUUGUCUAGAUACGCAUAUAUUUAAAUGCGUUUUAUUGUGUAAGUACAUGUGUAUCUAGACAAAGCUGCAACAAGUAAUAUGGAUUGAAAGGAGUACUGA